UGAAGACCUUACCCGAUUAGCUGAGAGGUGGUGCAUGGCCGUCGUCAGUUCGUACUGUGAAGCAUCCUGUUAAGUCAGGCAACGAGCGAGACCCACGUCCAUAGUUGCCAGCAUACCCUCCGGGGUGAUGGGUACACUGUGGAGACCGCCGCUGCUAAAGCGGAGGAAGGAGUGGGCAACGGUAGGUCAGUAUGCCCCGAAUCUCCCGGGCUACACGCGGGCUACAAUGGUUGGUACAAUGGGCAUCUACCCCGAAAGGGGAAGGAAAUCUCUUAAAGCCAAUCGUAGUUCGGAUUGAGGGCUGCAACUCGCCCUCAUGAAGCUGGAAUCCGUAGUAAUCGCGUUUCAACAGAACGCGGUGAAUACGUCCCUGCUCCUU
This 379-nucleotide ribosomal RNA is filed under the name uncultured Methanosaeta sp. RNAcentral's name for it is "bacterial SSU rRNA". It matches the Rfam family "Archaeal small subunit ribosomal RNA", at positions 960 to 1338 of the family's 1478-position model. Lineage: Archaea; Methanobacteriati; Methanobacteriota; Methanomicrobia; Methanotrichales; Methanotrichaceae. The record is from RNAcentral.